Molecule: ribosomal RNA, 234 nt
Filed under: uncultured bacterium
Lineage: Bacteria
Description: partial 16S ribosomal RNA
Rfam family: Bacterial small subunit ribosomal RNA
Source: RNAcentral
UAGAGUUUGAUCCUGGCUCAGAGCGAACGCUGGNGGCAGGCUUAACACAUGCNAGUCGAGCGGGCCCUUCGGGGUCNGCGGCNGACGGGUGAGUAACACGUGGGAACGUACCCNUUGGUUCGGAAUANCGCUGGGAAACUANCGCUAAUACCGGAUACGCCCUUUUGGGGAAAGGCUUGCUGCCAAAGGAUCNNCCCGCGUCUGAUUAGCUAGUUGGUGGGGUAAUGGCCUACC